Molecule: ribosomal RNA, 372 nt
Filed under: uncultured bacterium
Lineage: Bacteria
Description: bacterial SSU rRNA
Rfam family: Bacterial small subunit ribosomal RNA
Source: RNAcentral
AUACGGAGGGUCCGAGCGUUAUCCGGAUUUAUUGGGUUUAAAGGGAGCGUAGGCGGAUGUUUAAGUCAGUUGUGAAAGUUUAAGGCUCAACCUUGAAAUUGCAGUUGAUACUGGACGUCUUGAGUGCAUUAACUGUGGGCGGAAUUCGUGGUGUAGCGGUGAAAUGCUUAGAUAUUACACAGAACUCCGAUUGCGAAGGCAACUCACAAGACUGUAACUGACGCUGAUGCUCGAAAGUGUGGGGAUCAAACAGGAUUAGAUACCCUGGUAGUCCACACAGUAAACGAUGAAUACUCGCUGUCUGCGAUAGACAGUAAGCGGCCAAGCGAAAGCGUUAAGUAUUCCACCUGGGGAGUACGCCCGCAACGGUGA